UACGUAGGGUGCGAGCGUUAAUCGGAAUUACUGGGCGUAAAGCGUGCGCAGGCGGUUUUGUAAGCCAGGUGUGAAAUCCCCGGGCUCAACCUGGGAACUGCAUCUGUGACUGCAUCGCUGGAGUGCGGCAGAGGGGGAUGGAAUUCCGCGUGUAGCAGUGAAAUGCGUAGAUAUGCGGAGGAACACCGAUGGCGAAGGCAAUCCCCUGGGCCUGCACUGACGCUCAUGCACGAAAGCGUGGGGAGCAAACAGG
Molecule: ribosomal RNA, 253 nt
Filed under: uncultured bacterium
Lineage: Bacteria
Description: partial 16S ribosomal RNA
Rfam family: Bacterial small subunit ribosomal RNA
Source: RNAcentral